UUUCAAGAAGUGAGCCAAGUGAACAUUGCUUGAGAAUCUAUGUAGGAUUGGAUAGAAUCGGUGACCCAGGAAACUGGGAUCAGCAUAUCAUUGUUGAAGAUGUUUCUAACCUAAAAGAUCAUCUGAAGGUUAAAGAUAUAACCACUAAAUGUGUCUUUCUUAUUGCAAACAAGGAAAUGUUGCCAACUGAUGUCAAGUAUCUUGGAUUAGAGCCAACUCUCAUCUUUUUUUAUCAAAGCUAUAAUCAUUUGAAUCCUUUUCAGCAUGGGAAGCAAAAAUCAAAUGUUUGAUAAAUAUAUGUUAACACCUGUAAGCCUAAUAUAUUUUAUUGAAUAAAGAAAAACUAUUUGUAAAGGUAGAAGGUUCUAAAAAGUGGGACAUUCAAAAGAAAGCUCUUCCAGAAAGUUCAUAUUUUUUCUUAGUUUGCUACACUUCUAUGUGAAAAAGGCUUAAGGGUUCUAAAUAUAUCUUUCUUGGUCUGUAAAACAUUUUUUCA
Eurytemora carolleeae is the source of this 496-nucleotide long non-coding RNA. RefSeq lists it as uncharacterized. Lineage: Eukaryota; Metazoa; Arthropoda; Copepoda; Calanoida; Temoridae. The record is from RefSeq and is a predicted model, not a curated record. The transcript is spliced from 3 exons.